CGCUGGCGGCAGGCUAACCAUGCAAGUCGAGCGGAUGAGAAGAGCUUGCUCUUCGAUUCAGCGGCGGACGGGUGAGUAAUGCCUAGGAAUCUGCCUGGUAGUGGGGGACAACGUUUCGAGAGGAACGCUAAUACCGCAUACGUCCUACGGGAGAAAGCAGGUGACCUUCGGGCCUUGCGCUAUCAGAUGAGCCUAGGUCGGAUUAGCUAGUUGGUGAGGUAAUGGCUCACCAAGGCGACGAUCCGUAACUGGUCUGAGAGGAUGAUCAGUCACACUGGAACUGAGACACGGUCCAGACUCCUACGGGAGGCAGCAGUGGGGAAUAUUGGACCAUGGGCGAAAGCCUGAUCCAGCCAUGCCGCGUGUGUGAAGAAGGUCUUCGGAUUGGUAAGCACUUUAAGUUGGGAGGAAAGGCAUUAACCUAAUACGUUAGUGUGUUGACGUUACCGACAGAAUAAGCACCGGGUAACUCUGUGCCAGCAGCCGCGGUAAUACAGAGGGUGCAAGCGUUAAUCGGAAUUACUGGGCGUAAAGCGCGCGUAAGUGG
This 547-nucleotide ribosomal RNA is filed under the name uncultured Pseudomonas sp. Its description in RNAcentral is "bacterial SSU rRNA". It matches the Rfam family "Bacterial small subunit ribosomal RNA", at positions 34 to 578 of the family's 1533-position model. Lineage: Bacteria; Pseudomonadati; Pseudomonadota; Gammaproteobacteria; Pseudomonadales; Pseudomonadaceae. The record is from RNAcentral.